CAGCAAAGUUUGCAAACAAUACCGGGAAGCGAGAGAAGCCCCCGGAGCUCCUGGCGCAGCGGCCCGGCGCGAGCUCCAACUCACGGCCGCGGCAAACUUCGGCCUCUUCUUGGAGCGCCCAGGUGGCGCGUCUGGAGCGGGCGGGCGGCGCGGGCGCACCGAGGCCGGGCCAGCUCGCGGCGCCCCCGCGGCCCGCGCGGCUUCUCCCUCCCUGCGCUGGCCUCGGCCGGGCCCAGCCGGCAGCUGUUUCGAGGUUUGCGUCCCGGGAUGAGAAGACUCGCAAAAAGGCAAAUGGGGGCAGAAAAGCAGAGCGCUGACAGGCCCCGCCCCCGGGCCGCGCGCCCCGCCCCGCCACUGCUUUGCAUGAGAAAGCGCAGCGGCCCGGGGCAGCCCUCCUCCCCGCCGCCCCGCCGCGGGCUCCCGGGCCCCGCGGGGGCCGAAAGCCCCCCGCCCACAGCCCAGCCCGCGGGGGGCGCAGCGCCGAGUCCCGCCCGCGUCGCCCGCCAGCCCCGGAACAGCCCGCCUGGCGCGCGGAGCUCUGCGCGCCGCGACCCUCUCCGGCAGUCCCGCCCGCGUCUCCUCGCCCUCUCUCUGCCUGGCCUCCAACUUUGCCUCUCGCUGCCCUUUCCGCCGGCGGCCCCUUUCCUGGCGGUCCCCGAGAUGGUCCCUGGAACCCCGAGGACGCCGAGGUUACGGGAAGUUCGGGGACUGGCGGGAGAAGGGGGUGGGUUGUCCGCGGCGAGGGGCGCGGGGCGCAUCUUCUCUUCCUUUUAUGGUUCCCUCCUGUACCCUGGGACCGUUUUCUUUUGCCUGCUCUGGGAGCUGAGUGGGUCAGCUCGUCACAGGCCUGCGGCCCCUGUAUAG
RNAcentral lists this long non-coding RNA (864 nucleotides) under Macaca mulatta (Rhesus monkey). RNAcentral describes it as "lncRNA (ENSMMUG00000060964.1)". Lineage: Eukaryota; Metazoa; Chordata; Mammalia; Primates; Cercopithecidae. The record is from RNAcentral.